UUAAAUGGCCGCAGUAUAUUAACUGUGCAAAGGUAGCAUAAUCAUUAGUCUUUUAAUUGAAGGCUAGUAUGAAUGGUUGGACAAAUAUUAACUGUUUCAUAAAUAUUUAAAAUAAAAUUUUAUUUUUUAGUUAAAAAGCUAAAAUAUAUUUAAAAGACGAGAAGACCCUAUAAAUCUUUAUAAUUUAGUUAUUAAAAAUCUUUAGAAUUAUUUUAUUAUAAUAUUGAAUAUUAUUUUAUUGGGGUGAUAUUAAAAUUUAAUUAACUUUUAAUUUAUUGAUUCAUUAAUUUAUGAUUUGUUGAUCCAUUAUUAAUGAUUAAGAAAAUAAGUUACUUUAGGGAUAACAGCGUAAUUUUUUUGGAGAGUUCAUAUCAAUAAAAAAGAUUGCGACCUCGAUGUUGGAUUAAGAUAUAAUUUUAGGUGUAGUGGCUUAAAUUUUAAGUCUGUUCGACUUUUAAAAUCUUACAUGAUCUGAGUUCAAACCGGUGUAAGCCAGGUUGGUUUCUAUCUUUAAAAA
Molecule: ribosomal RNA, 517 nt
Filed under: Prophorostoma pulchrum
Lineage: Eukaryota; Metazoa; Arthropoda; Insecta; Diptera; Tachinidae
Description: partial small subunit ribosomal RNA
Rfam family: Bacterial large subunit ribosomal RNA
Source: RNAcentral